This 253-nucleotide ribosomal RNA is filed under the name uncultured bacterium. RNAcentral describes it as "partial 16S ribosomal RNA". It matches the Rfam family "Bacterial small subunit ribosomal RNA", at positions 524 to 776 of the family's 1533-position model. The record is from RNAcentral.
UACGUAGGGUGCGAGCGUUAAUCGGAAUUACUGGGCGUAAAGUGUGCGCAGGUGGCCGCGCAAGUCGAGUGUGAAAUCCCCGAGCUUAACUUGGGAAUUGCGCUCGAAACUACGUGGCUCGAGUGUGGCAGAGGAAGGUGGAAUUCCACGUGUAGCGGUGAAAUGCGUAGAGAUGUGGAGGAACACCCAGGGGGAAACCAGUGGACUGGCACGGUGCUGACGCUCAGGUGCGAAAGCGUGGGGAGCGAACCGG